UGAGGAGCGAAAGCAUGGGGAGCGAACAGGCUUAGAUACCCUGGUAGUCCAUGCCGUAAACGUUGGGCGCUAGGUGUGGGGUCCUAUCCACGGAUUCCGUGCCGCAGCUAACGCAUUAAGCGCCCCGCCUGGGGAGUACGGCCGCAAGGCUAAAACUCAAAGGAAUUGACGGGGGCCCGCACAAGCGGCGGAGCAUGCGGAUUAAUUCGAUGCAACGCGAAGAACCUUACCAAGGCUUGACAUACGCCGGAAACACUCAGAGAUGGGUGCCCCGCAAGGUCGGUGUACAGGUGGUGCAUGGUUGUCGUCAGCUCGUGUCGUGAGAUGUUGGGUUAAGUCCCGCAACGAGCGCAACCCUCGUUCUAUGUUGCCAGCGGGUCAUGCCGGGGACUCAUAGGAGACUGCCGGGGUCAACUCGGAGGAAGGUGGGGAUGACGUCAAAUCAUCAUGCCCCUUAUGUCUUGGGCUUCACGCAUGCUACAAUGGCCGGUACAAAGGGCUGCGAAACCGCAAGGUGGAGCGAAUCCCAAAAAGUCGGUCUCAGUUCGGAUUGGGGUCUGCAACUCGACCCCAUGAAGUCGGAGUCGCUAGUAAUCGCAGAUCAGCAACGCUGCGGUGAAUACGUUCCCGGGCCUUGUACACACCGCCCGUCACGUCACGAAAGUCGGUAACACCCGAAGCCGGUGGCCCAACCCCUUGUGGGAGGGAGCCGUCGAAGGUGGGACUGGCGAUUGGGACGAAGUCGUAACAAGGUAACC
RNAcentral lists this ribosomal RNA (758 nucleotides) under uncultured bacterium. RNAcentral describes it as "bacterial SSU rRNA". It matches the Rfam family "Bacterial small subunit ribosomal RNA", at positions 747 to 1501 of the family's 1533-position model. The record is from RNAcentral.